UGGCUCAAGAUGAACGCUAGCGGGAGGCCUAACACAUGCAAGCCGAGCGGUAGAGAUCUUUCGGGAUCUUGAGAGCGGCGUACGGGUGCGGAACACGUGUGCAACCUGCCUUUAUCUGGGGGAUAGCCUUUCGAAAGGAAGAUUAAUACCCCAUAAUAUGUUGGAUGGCAUCAUUCGACAUUGAAAACUCCGGUGGAUAGAGAUGGGCACGCGCAAGAUUAGAUAGUUGGUGAGGUAACGGCUCACCAAGUCUGCGAUCUUUAGGGGGCCUGAGAGGGUGAUCCCCCACACUGGUACUGAGACACGGACCAGACUCCUACGGGAGGCAGCAGUGAGGAAUAUUGGACAAUGGGUGAGAGCCUGAUCCAGCCAUCCCGCGUGAAGGACGACGGCCCUAUGGGUUGUAAACUUCUUUUGUAUAGGGAUAAACCUACUCUCGUGAGAGUAG
Molecule: ribosomal RNA, 448 nt
Filed under: bacterium Urfm94
Lineage: Bacteria
Description: bacterial SSU rRNA
Rfam family: Bacterial small subunit ribosomal RNA
Source: RNAcentral